This 253-nucleotide ribosomal RNA is filed under the name uncultured bacterium. Its description in RNAcentral is "partial 16S ribosomal RNA". It matches the Rfam family "Bacterial small subunit ribosomal RNA", at positions 524 to 776 of the family's 1533-position model. The record is from RNAcentral.
UACGAAGGGGGCUAGCGUUGCUCGGAAUCACUGGGCGUAAAGCGCACGUAGGCGGGUCGUUAAGUCAGGGGUGAAAUCCUGGAGCUCAACUCCAGAACUGCCCUUGAUACUGGCGAUCUCGAGUUCGGGAGAGGUGAGUGGAACUGCGAGUGUAGAGGUGAAAUUCGUAGAUAUUCGCAAGAACACCAGUGGCGAAGGCGGCUCACUGGCCCGAUACUGAUGCUGAGGUGCGAAAGCGUGGGGAGCAAACAGG